RNAcentral lists this ribosomal RNA (450 nucleotides) under uncultured bacterium. RNAcentral's name for it is "partial 16S ribosomal RNA". It matches the Rfam family "Bacterial small subunit ribosomal RNA", at positions 338 to 795 of the family's 1533-position model. The record is from RNAcentral.
CCUACGGGCGGCUGCAGUGGGGAAUAUUGCGCAAUGGGCGAAAGCCUGACGCAGCGACGCCGCGUGGGUGAUGAAGGCCUUCGGGUCGUAAAGCCCUGUCGAGAGGGAAGAAACAUUCCGGACCUAAUACGUCCGGGAAUUGACGGUACCUCUUAAGGAAGCACCGGCUAACUCCGUGCCAGCAGCCGCGGUAAUACGGAGGGAGCUAGCGUGGUUCGGAAUCACGGGGCGUAAAGGGUAAGUACGAGGUGAAAUCCCCUCGCUCAACGAGGGAACUGCGUCUGAUACUGGCAGACUCGAGUACCGGAGAGGAAGGUGGAAUUCCCGGUGUAGCGGUGAAAUGCGUAGAUAUCGGGAGGAACAUCGGUGGCGAAGGCGGCCUUCUGGACGGAUACUGACGCUGAGACGCGAAAGCGUGGGGAGCAAACAGGAUUAGAUACCCGAGUAGUC